CCCACACCUGCCUUAUCCCCUCGAUCUCCUUCUUCUGUCCUCCACCAACAAGACACAGACUCCAUUUUUGCCCCCAAAAACUCAGAGUUAAGCACCACCCCACCUCACACACUAGCCAUGGCCGUACAUCGUUGUGUUUUGAUUCCAUCCAGCUCUCAGCCACCCCGUUCCUCGUGGCCGGCCAGCAACCUCCUCAGCUCUUCUUUUCCCAUCUGGUGUGAUGCUGGGACAAUGGGUGCCCACAAAUGUUGUGACCGUAGUCAACGUUUGCUGGAACUAGCCUGUAGAUUUGCUACCAUCGGCGGUCAUCAAUUUUUUCGCUCGACCCCAACAUCGGCGUUUAGCUACGACUUGGGCAGCACCUUGCUGGAACUAGCGUCGUCAUUUGCUACAACUGGCCAGGCGGCGUGCUGGAAGUAGUGUUCAUCGGUGCUGGAACAGGAUGAGCCCCUUGCCGUCGACAAUUUUUUUUGCUGGAACCUGCUAGUUUGUUUGCUAAAAUCUUUUUCUUUGGAGUUUGCUAAUGUGACUUUUGUUGCAUUUGGUGUUAAUUUUAGCUGGAACUGACUUUUUUUUUGCUUCAACUGACAAUUAGAAGAUUUUGCUACUGAGAUUUUUUCGCUGGAUCAGUCGCUUUUGUUUUGUUACAACUAAUGUUUUUUUUAGCUGGAACCGACUAAAUGUUUUGCUUCAACUGAACAUUUUGGUUUUUGCUACAGAGGUUUUUGCUGGAGCACGGCUAUGCUAGUGAUGGUGCGGCGAGCCGGAGCUAGUGGUGGGCGAGUUCUUGUUACAACCAUGGCUGCGGUGCACUGGAACCGGUUAUCAGUUGAAGCUUUGCACACAACAUAUGACCGUGCUGCAACCCCGGCGUCCGUGAGAAGAGGGACAACAAGCUGGCAGCGGCGCUGGUGCUGCUGGGGCCGACGACGCUGACGACCGCCGAAUCUAGCGAAGGAGCAGCCCGACAGAGGAGGCGUGGUGUGGGGCGGCGAUUGCACAGUGUCGGGGGGUUGGGAAGUUGGGGACGAAGAAGAGGAUCAGAUCUGACGGUUACGCAUAAAAAAAAUCAAACGGACAGGGUGCGACCGACCCAAAUUUGGGCCGGUGCACCGGCGCCUAAUAGUCGCCUUUCUCUACGAGUUCAGGGUUUGCACCCGAUCCGCUUUCUCUCUUGUAUAGUGGCGAUCGAUCCCCUUCCCCACCUACUACUCUUCUUCCCCCCUCAUCCCGGUCCCCUUUCUCCCUUGUGGCGAUCGAUCCCCUUCCCCUAGGGUUCUGGCCAUCACAUCCACUCCUCAACCGCCCGGGGAGCCAAGAUCAGCUCCUCGACCACAGGAGGAACCAAGCCCCGAUCCUCUACCGCUGGAGGGACCAAACCCCGCUCCUCCACUGCGGACGGGAACGAGUUCCCCAGCGAGGACGACAGUAGCGAGCUCCACCCCAGGACUGGUGGCCAUGACGAGGGAGCGAAGUACUGGCAAGAAGCGGUCAGGGACCAAGCGGAACCAGGGCGGCAGCAGAGGGAACGAGGAGGAGAAGCCCGUGCCUGGGGCGAAGGAGGAGAAGCUGCCACCGAAGCUGUCCACCGACGCUCUGUUUCCAGGGGACAAGGGAGAGAUCAGGGCCAUGGAGGGGAAGAAGCCAACGCCGCAGAUGGUGUUCAUGGCAGAGAAGGAGGAGACAGUAAACAACGAAUCAGGGGUUUGGAAGAGAAAUCAGUCUACGGAUGUGGCGUCUCCUGGGGACAGCGGAGGAAUCACGAGGAGAGAUGGCAAGGGGGUGAAGGAGAAAAAGCCGGCAGCAAAGACUCACAACAACGACAGCAGAGCGAAGCGGCACCAGGGCGGCAGCAGAGGGGAGGAGGAGAAGCCAGUGCCUGUGGCGAAGGGGAAGAAACUGCCACCGAAGCACUCCACGUACGCUCUGUUCCCAGUGGACAAGGGAGAGAGUAGGGGGGGUGAGGGUGAGAAGCCAGCACCACAGAUGGUGUUAACGGCAAAGCAGGAGGAGGUGGUAAACGCCGAGGCAGGGAAGAAGCGGAAGCAAUCCCCAGAGGAGGAUGAGGGGCAGAGCAGAGGGGUGAAGCCAUUAGGAACCAGGCACAUGGAGAAGUUGGAAGCAGAGAUACAGGUGCUGCCCGAGGAGGUGGUAAACACCAAGGCAGGGAAGAAGCGGAAGCAAUCCCCAGAGGAGGAUGAGGGGCAGAGCAGAGGGGCGAAGUCAUUAGGAACCAGGCACAUGGAGAAGUCGGAAGCAGAGAUACAGGUGCUGCCAAAGGGCGAUAAUGUCGAUGGCAAAGAGAAGAAAAAGAAAGGGAAAAGAAUCCGGAGGAGUAAACUAAAGAAGGACCGGCUUAUCACCCGCGCUGCACAACGAAAUAUGUUUGGAUCGGCUUUGAAGGAUGAAUUUCCUGUGUUAAAAGAUGGCUCAAAACCAAAAGUACUGAUAACAGCAUGCCAGUAUAUUAUGGACAAGCAAGGACCUUCAUCUUCAUUUAUUCAUGAGCUAAUGCAACUCAUUCCAGAUGCAUGCUAUAUUCAUCGGACGAAUGUUUGCCUCGAUGAAGUGGUUGAGUAUGCGAAUGAAAGAAAAUUUACUUCACUUAUUGUUGCUCUUUCUGAUGGCUUAAAAAUUAUCAACUUGCCUGAUGGUCCCCUUGCACACCUUGAGCUCUCUGAGUUUACUCCACGAAAGGACAUAAAGAAUCAUGGGGAGCCAAUAAGUCGUGAGCCAGAGUUAGUGUUUAAUAAUUUUGAAGCACAUCUUGGCUAUCGUCUUCAAAGGUUGAUAUCGUCUCUUUUCCCUCAAGCUGAUUUCAAUAAACGGCAAGUGUUCACAUUUGAACUGAAGCAACAGCAUAUACUGUUCCGUAAUCACAGCUAUGUUGUAUGUUGUAAAAUCUUCAAAUAUUCAGCUAUCAUAUUGAACACUAUGUUGUUACUUGGAAUCUUUUGCAAGCAUUGAGAACAGCGAGGAUCAAAAUUCUGUUGUGCAAGUGUGCAUAGUAAAUGCUAAUCUGUGGUCGUACGAGAUGGCAUUGAGGGCUAGAAAUUAUAUUGACCCACUACACGAUGAAGCAAGAUUAAGGAAUACAAGAAAAUGGGAGUGGGUAUGGUUUUACACUUUACCUCGAACAGUUGGUGGGUGAGUAAAUGGGAGGAUAGGCUCUCCUACUGACCUUGCCCAAAUGUGGAUCAAAGAGAGGGAUUAUGGGGCAACAUACAGGGGCCGGCAGUGUUGGCCUUCUCAUCAGAUUGAGGUGGGCGGAAACGUGGUUGGGCCUAGAGAUAUUGGGACAGGGGCAGAGGAUGAAACGACAUGCAAUGCAAGACAAAAGGAUGGUAGGGACAUAAGUCGAAUUAUGAGCAGUGCGAAACCGGGUCAAAGCGACUUAUUAUCACCAGCAACUGAAAAAUUUCAUUUUCUACAUACAUUUUAUGUAGUGGAUUACAUACAUCUACCUUAAUGAAGGAAAUCAUAUAUGUUUGUUCUCCAGUUAAUAAUGGGUGCAUUUCCUUAUUAUAUGGUACUUGUAUGAAAUGAAAGAAGAAUUGAGGGAUGGAAAUACUGGUACUUUUCCAGGAGUCAAAUUGAAAGCUUCUGAUGUAACUUGUCACCUACUAGUAAGUGAGCUAGCUGUAGAUUUUCGCAAUGUAAUUGAAGCCAGAUGGCUGCACUGUACGAUGACUACAUCAUUAGCUGUAAACCUAAAUUGUUCAUUAUAACAUACGAAUGUGGACCUCGUUUCACUCUUA
Triticum aestivum (bread wheat) is the source of this 3758-nucleotide RNA transcript. It is a transcript of the gene named ribosome production factor 1, with no coding region annotated. The transcript is spliced from 11 exons. NCBI's taxonomy places the organism in Eukaryota, Viridiplantae, Streptophyta, Magnoliopsida, Poales, Poaceae. The record is from RefSeq and is a predicted model, not a curated record.